GUUAGUAUGGGGGGAUCUGUGGAGACCGUUGAUGGCUUAUUGCAAAUAUGCAACUUCCACUCAACUGAGGAAUUAGAAUUGAAAGGGAGGGAAGCUUGGGGAAAUUUGCCAGAAUCAAUUCAACAUCUCACCUCUACUGGUUGGUUAGAGAUAGAGAAUUAUGGAAUGGAAGAGUUGCCUGAAUGGUUGGGGAACCUCUCAUCUCUAUGGAGAUUGCAUAUAUUUAAUUGCAAGAAGUUAAGGUGUCUACAUGCGCUGCGGGGCCUCACAUCACUUGUUUUCUUAUAUAUUAAGGGUUGCCCUGAAAUAAGUUAUGAACAACAAAGUGAUGCAGAUGAUUCCCAAUGGCCCAACAUUUCCCAUAUUUACUACAUUGAGAUUGAUGGACACAACAUAGUUGAAGAGAGAAUACUUGAAGAGAGAAGGAGAAAAUAUACUCAGAGUUUGAUGAGUAGGUGCCUCUAAAGUGUCCAUUUGAAUUGCUCAACCUUUCUUCAUGUUUACUGGGAUUCCGUUGACAGAACUACGUAGAUUGCUGAAUUCAAGUAACCCUGCUCUUCUUAUCUUUUAUAUUCUAGCUUUGUUCUCUUUGGUUUAUGGU
RNA transcript from Salvia hispanica, 601 nucleotides. It is a transcript of the gene named disease resistance protein RGA2-like, with no coding region annotated. The record is from RefSeq and is a predicted model, not a curated record. Lineage: Eukaryota; Viridiplantae; Streptophyta; Magnoliopsida; Lamiales; Lamiaceae.